GAUGUCUCCAUGAUUUUCAUGUAACUCCUCUAGGGAAAGGUGAUUUCAGCUUUACUCAUUUCCGCUUAUUUUCAGAAAAACCUAAACUUUUGAUGAUGUCGAGGAUUAUGAAUCAUGACACCCAUGAACGACAUUUCAGAGAGAUUUAAUUAUAUUGUUACUUUGAAGAAAACCACGCAGAACCGUAUUUAGAGAAAUGUCUUUCUGGGUUGAGAAUAAGAGGCUACUGAAUUAGAAAAAAAAAAAAGAAAGAAACUAACUCUAAGAGUUUUAAAAUGGAGCAGAACUCCAUGAGGACUAGAAGAAUCUGCUCCAAGAAUAAAGCUGCUCAGAAAAGGGAAAACCAGGGUUUCCCUCGGACUUCUACAUGCCCAUGCUACACAUAUCCUGUGGCCUCCAGAGCGCUGGCAGAAAUUGGAAUCUGUUCUUCCUCCAGAGCGCUUGCUAGUUCAGAGAGAAGAGGAAUAAUGGCAUGAAACUCCCUCAGCUGCUGGCAUUGGCAGGCCAAAACCAUCCAUUACAGAAGGGAUGGAGAGGAGGAACCUUCAGAAGGGCAACGUUUGUUUCAAAUGAAAUGAUCUGCAUUAUUAAAGAAAAAGUGUUAAAAUAUUAUAUAGUAUUAAAUAGCAACUGAUUUUGUGUUUAAUUGUAAUACUCUAUUGCUCAAUGCCAAAAAAUACAGACCUUUGGGAAUAGGAAAACUUUAUUCCCAUGUCUUACAGGGAAAUUGUUAUGUGUACUUAGUCUCUCGAUUGUUGGGUUUUAAUUUUGGUGCUUGCUGCUGAGAGAAUAUGAAAAUUAAUAUUUGAUGAAAGUAAUUCAGUAAUGUCAUUUACUCUUUAGAACAUGAAGAAACAUACAGUGAUGGAAAUUAUAUUGUAAUUGACAGUAUGUACGAGGCAGUGACUGCUGGCUAAGAAGAACAGUAAACUGUGAUAUAAAAAUAAAACUGAUUUGCUCAGGUACUGUUUUGGGUAUUAAUCAUUUAACCUGUACCUCCCUUACUGAGGAAUAUUUUUUUUUUUUUUUGGAAGCAAGGAAUUAAAGUAAGGAGAACCAAUUCUAUCAAUAUUUCCAUACAAUUAAAGCUUUCUUAUUAGCCCUUUUAAAUAAAAACUUCUGAGUGAUCUCUUGCCUGUUCACAUCCAUGAAUAAACCUAUUCAUCAGUAUUCAGUCACUAUGUGGUAAAAUGUUCUGAGUGAAAUAAAAAAAAUAUUCCUGUUUGACCAACUUUUUUUCCUCCCAAUGAUUUUCAGUGUUUAUCUCUGUAAAUACUGAAAUCACCAAUUGCAAAGUGGGAUGAUAACGGCAUCAUAGAUCCUCUAACUGCAGAGGUAAGGCAGUAAAUCCCUUCAUACGAGUCUAUAUUCAUUCUUGCAAAUGUGGAUGCAAGUUUCCUUAGUGGUCAGGAAUGCAAAGAGUAAGGGUA
RNAcentral lists this long non-coding RNA (1430 nucleotides) under Mustela putorius furo (domestic ferret). Its description in RNAcentral is "lncRNA (ENSMPUG00000028783.1)". The record is from RNAcentral. Lineage: Eukaryota; Metazoa; Chordata; Mammalia; Carnivora; Mustelidae.